UCCUUAAAAUCUGAAAAUAUAUAUUUUUAUAUUAAAAUAUAUAAGUAAAUUUUCAAAAAUAAAUAUUUAUGUAUGUAUAUUAAAACACAGUACAGAGUUUUACAUUUACAAAAAAAAAAAAAAAAAAAAAAAAAGAAAAUUAAUUAAUGCAUAAUUUGUGAAAUGAUGAUCUGCUCGUCUUAUUAAUAGUCAUGUUUUCAGAUCUCUGGUCUCAGACAAGGAGAUGAACCUUCAAUGUCCUUCACCGAUCAUCAUUUCAAGUGUGGUCUGACGUGACCGAAAGAUCAUAUCUGAGCGGGCGUGUUGGAGGAUGCUGAGGGUGCGUGACCGCUGCCAAACAGAUUUCAUCAUCCCGUACCCUGCUGGUAAACUCUCUCGCUGUCUCCAUGCAAGAGAAACUCUGAAUUCCUUCAGCUAAUCUCACGUCUGGAUGCAGCUGUGUUUCUGCGCCGCCGGAGAACAAACUCUCGAGUCCCUGCAGGACCAGACACUUGCUAUUCUUACGUUUCUAAGUGGAGGGAAAUGUCAUUUUAAAUUAAAUAAAGAUUCAGAGCCUGAAGGGGUCGAACACUUAUAAGAGAAGAAACACAUGUUCAUUCACAGAGGAAGAGCUGCAGCGUGAUCCGCUGACGUUUGAAGAAUGAUCGUCCACGUAUCUGUCGAGUAAAACCUGGAGAAGUCCUUUAAAACUGACUGCACCAUUAUUAUCAUCAUCAAUCAUCAAAUCUGUUUGAAAUGUAUU
Long non-coding RNA from Cyprinus carpio (common carp), 742 nucleotides. NCBI's taxonomy places the organism in Eukaryota, Metazoa, Chordata, Actinopteri, Cypriniformes, Cyprinidae. The record is from Ensembl.